AUAAUUUGUUGUUAAAAAUUCACCAUCAUGUCAGAAGGAAGACACAAGAGAUAAACAAUGGAGGGAGGAUAAUUCCCUGAUGAAGAUUUGGGUCCCCGAAUCCAGCGAAAGAAGACACACACAGAGCUCUGCACCUCAACCUGAACCUCUGGCGACAAAUCCCGUCUGCUCUGCCACUGAAGACCACACCUCACAGGAUGAGGAAGAUCCUGCACUUCCUUCAAAGCUACCUGGGGAUACAUGUGAAAGAGAGGAUGAGAAGAAUAUAAGUAGCAGUUCUGACAGCAGUUCGAGCGAUGAUGACAAUUCCGAAGCUCUACCUGGGGUGCGAAGUUGUGGCACUGAUAGCAGUGAUGGUGACUCAGAGAGCGUAAACAAUGACUGCGAGGAAGAGGAAAAUGAAAUCCUACACUCAUCUGAUGAAUUAAUAUCCGACAGCGAGCAGGAUUCCCUAUCUUCUAGCACAGAGAAGGACUUUCCUCCACUAUCUACUAUCCUGGCUGGCAUUUCACUAUGUCCCACAGUGCCCCCGGCCUUGGGGAAGAUGCAUAGCCAGUGGGAGAUUCCCCUUUCAUUCCACCCACAUGACAUCCCUACUGCCACUUUGGCAAGCAACGUGACCGCCCAUGCUCAGGCUCCUGUCCAAGGCAAAGCAGAAGCACCUCAGGCAAACUCGAAAAAGACCGCAGAAGCCCUGACGCAGCAGGAGGCUUAUGACCUACAGGCUGACUUCCCGGCUCUGCGUGAUGGGAAUUCCAAGACCAAAGGUGUAGAGGGGAAAAGAGGGCUUACUCACUUACAAAACCAAUGCCAAGAGAGUGGGGCUUCCCAUCAGAGGAGGAAGGAACAUGUGCCCCAUGAGGUCUCUUCCAUCUGUGCAGGAGAUCAGAAAUCUGUGCUGGAGAUUCAAACAUUUGGCUCCACCGGCCAACGCAUCUCUCCUGCCAUCAGCUGUGAUGAAGUAAAGGCCAACAACCGGCCUCCUCCUCGAGUCGCAGGUACAGAUGGCGUGUGUGUUAAUGCCAGGUCCUGGGCUAGUGCUGCCAAGGCGGGCAUGAAGCAAGCAGCUGCCCCUGAGGAGAAAGCCAGACCUUGUACCUUUCAGCAGAUAGUUACCAUUAACAGAGCCAAAGCCGUUCAGAACUUCCCCAACAGAGUUACUCCUUCCCAUCGUGCAGCCACUCGACCUCACAACCCAACUCGUUUUGCUGGACCUGGUUGCAAUUCCAUCCGUCAGCAUUUUGGAGCCCAGGCGUAUCGAGCCAGCCCUGCAGAAUUCAUAUGUCCGCGUUUUCCCUUCCAACAGGACUGCGGUAACCCGUGUAAACAGAGGUACGUGUGAAGACAGCCAGACGCAAAGUAAUUGUGUUUCAGCUGAGGACAUCUCUGCAAAUUCACUGGACUCUCUUAUUUCCCCCCCUGUUAGCAGCCUAAUAAAUGUUUGCAUCGUCCGACUAUAGUUAGCUAUAUAUAUACUGCUGCUUUGGGACUGAACCACAAUGAGACUCAUCAAGUGAGGCAAAGGACACAUCCGCCACCAGUCAGUGCUUUAGUUCAUUAGUGAGCAUCUUUAUGCUGUGUGCACACACAAGUGAGGCCCUUAAUACAAAAUGCAAACAGUAUGCACUUUCCAAAUGAAUUGAGUGAUGCGUAGUAAUAACAAAAUCUCAUUGUGCUGUGGUGAUAGUGAAAUGGCGAUUAUUCAACAGUGCAGUCAUUUUCGCCAACGGACCAUCUCAUACAUAAUGCAUGCAAAUCAUUGCAUUUUUUCUCCAUUCUGGGCUACAAUGCAUAUUUCAUCAAGUCAGUGAAAUAUUAAGCACUCUUACUAUUUGAUAUUCUCUUCUAAAGGCGAUUUCAGUUUGUGUAUUUUCUUCAUCACUCGUGUCUCCUCUGGGAACACACUUCCGGGGAUGUCAUUAUUAGGCUUGUUUGUUUACUAGAGAGACGUUUGAUUGGUUAAUACCGGAGUAAUGAUCAGUGAGGCAACCAAUCACUUCAAGAGAUUAUCAAGGCUCAGAGGACAUUGAUCUGUAAGAGGGUUCAGGGCUGAACGGCAGGUUGGGCUCAUUCCAACUGAUUUGAUUGAAAUUACAGAAGCUCAAACUGUGAGGCAUGUCUUCCUCCCUCUGCCCUCAAAUUUUAAAUGUCAACUGUUAUUCAGGUGAAGAGAUUGAUGAGACAUUGGUGGAGGAGAAGAGGGAGAGGUGUGUUCAGCGCAUUAAUUCAAGAAUAUAGAAGCAAAGUUCUGCUUCUUACCACUCAAACUUAUAAUACAAUGAGAAGACAUGACAGGGUUAGGGU
Molecule: long non-coding RNA, 2304 nt
Organism: Cottoperca gobio
Lineage: Eukaryota; Metazoa; Chordata; Actinopteri; Perciformes; Bovichtidae
Source: Ensembl